CGACCGGCGCACGGGUGAGUAACACGUAUCCAACCUGCCGUCUACUCUUGGACAGCCUUCUGAAAGGAAGAUUAAUACAAGAUGGCGUCAUGAGUCCGCAUGUUCACAUGAUUAAAGGUAUUCCGGUAGACGAUGGGGAUGCGUUCCAUUAGAUAGUAGGCGGGGUAACGGCCCACCUAGUCUUCGAUGGAUAGGGGUUCUGAGAGGAAGGUCCCCCACAUUGGAACUGAGACACGGUCCAAACUCCUACGGGAGGCAGCAUG
RNAcentral lists this ribosomal RNA (263 nucleotides) under uncultured bacterium. RNAcentral describes it as "partial 16S ribosomal RNA". It matches the Rfam family "Bacterial small subunit ribosomal RNA", at positions 92 to 353 of the family's 1533-position model. The record is from RNAcentral.